RNAcentral lists this long non-coding RNA (995 nucleotides) under Homo sapiens (human). RNAcentral's name for it is "non-protein coding lnc-SLTM-7:2". The record is from RNAcentral. Lineage: Eukaryota; Metazoa; Chordata; Mammalia; Primates; Hominidae.
GGGGAAAGGAGGAAGGAAACGAACGAGGGGGAGGGAGGUCCCUGUUUUGGAGGAGCUAGGAGCGUUGCCGGCCCCUGAAGUGGAGCGAGAGGGAGGUGCUUCGCCGUUUCUCCUGCCAGGGGAGGUCCCGGCUUCCCGUGGAGGCUCCGGACCAAGCCCCUUCAGCUUCUCCCUCCGGAUCGAUGUGCUGCUGUUAACCCGUGAGGAGGCGGCGGCGGCGGCAGCGGCAGCGGAAGAUGGUGUUGCUGAGAGUGUUAAUUCUGCUCCUCUCCUGGGCGGCGGGGAUGGGAGGUCAGUAUGGGAAUCCUUUAAAUAAAUAUAUCAGACAUUAUGAAGGAUUAUCUUACAAUGUGGAUUCAUUACACCAAAAACACCAGCGUGCCAAAAGAGCAGUCUCACAUGAAGACCAAUUUUUACGUCUAGAUUUCCAUGCCCAUGGAAGACAUUUCAACCUACGAAUGAAGAGGGACACUUCCCUUUUCAGUGAUGAAUUUAAAGUAGAAACAUCAAAUAAAGUACUUGAUUAUGAUACCUCUCAUAUUUACACUGGACAUAUUUAUGGUGAAGAAGGAAGUUUUAGCCAUGGGUCUGUUAUUGAUGGAAGAUUUGAAGGAUUCAUCCAGACUCGUGGUGGCACAUUUUAUGUUGAGCCAGCAGAGAGAUAUAUUAAAGACCGAACUCUGCCAUUUCACUCUGUCAUUUAUCAUGAAGAUGAUAUUAACUAUCCCCAUAAAUACGGUCCUCAGGGGGGCUGUGCAGAUCAUUCAGUAUUUGAAAGAAUGAGGAAAUACCAGAUGACUGGUGUAGAGGAAGUAACACAGACACUCUUGCUUGCUCCUGCUUCCAGCAUGUCAUGUGCCUGCUCCCCCUUCACCUUCUGCCCAUGCUUAUAAGCUUCCUGAGACCUCUCUAGAAGCCAAGCGGAUGCCAGCACCAUGCUUCCUGUAAAGCCUGCAGAACGAUGAGCCAAUUAAAACUCUUUUCUUGAUAAAUUA